GUACACGCUGUGACUAGCAUAUCAAUAAGCGGAGGAAAAGAAACUAACAAGGAUUCCCUCAGUAACGGCGAGUGAAGCGGGAAGAGCUCAAAUUUGAAAUCUUGAAAGGUCACCCUUCACGAAUUGUAGUUUAAAGAAGUGUUUUCUGUUACGAUCGUAAUAUAAGUUCUUUGGAAUAGGACAUCACAGAGGGUGAGAAUCCCGUCUAUGAUUGCGAUAUUGUAGCUUCGUGAUACACUUUCAAAGAGUCGGGUUGUUUGGGAAUGCAGCCCAAAACGGGAGGUAAGUUUCUUCUAAGGCUAAAUAUUGGCGAGAGACCGAUAGCGAACAAGUACCGUGAGGGAAAGAUGAAAAGAACUUUGAAAAGAGAGUUAAAUAGUACGUGAAAUUGUCAAAAGGGAAGCGUUUAACACCAGUGUUGUUUUCUGAAAAUCAACCUCUGUUAGCUUUAUGCAUGUUUGUUUAGACCUAAUCAGCUAUCUUGCAUGUUCUAUUGUUUGCAGUGGUGCACUUUUCAGUUUACAGGUCAACAUCAGUUUUUUUUACCGUAAAAAAGUUAAAGAAAGGUAGCUCAUGGCUCCGGUCGUGAGUGUUAUAGUCUUUUUCCUAUGCGGUAGGAGAGACUGAGGUCUGCAGUGUAGGCUAUUUGGCUAGAUACUCAGGUGCUAUGUGAUACCAUUUCAUAAACAACUUGUUGAUUAUGUUUUGUCUAUUGCAUACUCGCUUGUACUAUCAUACCUACGCUUAGGAUGUUGAGUAGCGACAUACGCAC
RNAcentral lists this ribosomal RNA (772 nucleotides) under uncultured Neocallimastigales. RNAcentral's name for it is "partial large subunit ribosomal RNA". It matches the Rfam family "Eukaryotic large subunit ribosomal RNA", at positions 22 to 646 of the family's 3401-position model. Lineage: Eukaryota; Fungi; Neocallimastigomycota; Neocallimastigomycetes; Neocallimastigales. The record is from RNAcentral.